This 427-nucleotide ribosomal RNA is filed under the name uncultured bacterium. RNAcentral describes it as "bacterial SSU rRNA". It matches the Rfam family "Bacterial small subunit ribosomal RNA", at positions 355 to 774 of the family's 1533-position model. The record is from RNAcentral.
UGGGGAAUUUUGGACAAUGGGCGCAAGCCUGAUCCAGCAAUGCCGCGUGCAGGAUGAAGGCCUUCGGGUUGUAAACUGCUUUUGUACGGAACGAAACGGCUCUGGUUAAUACCUGGGGCUAAUGACGGUACCGUAAGAAUAAGCACCGGCUAACUACGUGCCAGCAGCCGCGGUAAUACGUAGGGUGCGAGCGUUAAUCGGAAUUACUGGGCGUAAAGCGUGCGCAGGCGGUGAUGUAAGACAGAUGUGAAAUCCCCGGGCUCGACCUGGGACCUGCAUUUGUGACUGCAUCGCUGGAGUGCGGCAGAGGGGGAUGGAAUUCCGCGUGGAGCAGUGAAAUACGUAGAUAUGCGGAGGAACACCGAUGGCGAAGGCAGCCUCCUGGGCAAGUACUGACGCUCAUGAACGAAAGCGUGGGGAGCAAACA